UACGGGGGGGGUAAGCGUUGUUCGGAAUUCCUGGGCGUAAAGGGCUCGUAGGCGGCCAACUAAGUCAGACGUGAAAUCCCUCGGCUUAACCGGGGAACGGCCUCUGAUACUGGCUGGCUGGAGUUCGGGAGAGGGAUGCGGAAUUCCAGGUGUAGCGGUGAAAUGCGUAGAUAUCUGGAGGAACACCGGUGGCGAAGGCGGCAUCCUGGACCGACACUGACGCUGAGGAGCGAAAGCCAGGGGAGCAAACGGG
This 253-nucleotide ribosomal RNA is filed under the name uncultured bacterium. RNAcentral's name for it is "partial 16S ribosomal RNA". It matches the Rfam family "Bacterial small subunit ribosomal RNA", at positions 524 to 776 of the family's 1533-position model. The record is from RNAcentral.